RNAcentral lists this ribosomal RNA (253 nucleotides) under uncultured bacterium. Its description in RNAcentral is "partial 16S ribosomal RNA". It matches the Rfam family "Bacterial small subunit ribosomal RNA", at positions 524 to 776 of the family's 1533-position model. The record is from RNAcentral.
UACGAAGGGGGCUAGCGUUGCUCGGAAUCACUGGGCGUAAAGGGUGCGUAGGCGGGUCUUUCAGUCAGGGGUGAAAUCCUGGAGCUCAACUCCAGAACUGCCUUUGAUACUGAGGAUCUUGAGUUCGGGAGAGGUGAGUGGAACUGCGAGUGUAGAGGUGAAAUUCGUAGAUAUUCGCAAGAACACCAGUGGCGAAGGCGGCUCACUGGCCCGAUACUGACGCUGAGGCACGAAAGCGUGGGGAGCAAACAGG